RNAcentral lists this ribosomal RNA (292 nucleotides) under uncultured bacterium. RNAcentral's name for it is "partial 16S ribosomal RNA". It matches the Rfam family "Bacterial small subunit ribosomal RNA", at positions 505 to 796 of the family's 1533-position model. The record is from RNAcentral.
GUGUCAGCAGCCGCGGUAAUACGGAGGGUGCAAGCGUUAUCCGGAAUCACUGGGUAUAAAGGGUGCGUAGGCGGCUUGCUAAGUCAGGAGUGAAAGGCCACGGCUUAACCGUGGGAUUGCUUUUGAUACUGGCGAGCUUGGAUUAGGACGAGGUUGGCGGAAUGUGGCAAGUAGCGGUGAAAUGCAUAGAUAUGCCAUAGAAUACCGAUUGCGAAGGCAGCUGACUAGACCUAUAUUGACGCUGAGGCACGAAAGCGUGGGGAGCGAACAGGAUUAGAAACCCCAGUAGUCC